GACGAACGCUGGCGGCGUGCUUAACACAUGCAAGUCGAACGGUGAAGCUCCAGCUUGCUGGAGUGGAUCAGUGGCGAACGGGUGAGUAACACGUGAGCAACCUGCCCCUGACUCUGGAAUAAGCGCUGGAAACGGCGUCUAAUACUGGAUACGAGAAGGGUCCGCAUGGGCACUUUCUGGAAAGUUUUUCGGUUGGGGAUGGGCUCGCGGCCUAUCAGCUUGUUGGUGAGGUAAUGGCUCACCAAGGCGACGACGGGUAGCCGGCCUGAGAGGGCGACCAGCCACACUGGGACUGAGACACGGCCCAGACUCCUACGGGAGGCAGCAGUGGGGAAUAUUGCACAAUGGGCGAAAGCCUGAUGCAGCGACGCCGCGUGAGGGAUGACGGCCUUCGGGUUGUAAACCUCUUUCAGCAGGGAAGAAGCGAAAGUGACGGUACCUGCAGAAGAAGCACCGGCUAACUACGUG
RNAcentral lists this ribosomal RNA (468 nucleotides) under uncultured bacterium. RNAcentral's name for it is "partial 16S ribosomal RNA". It matches the Rfam family "Bacterial small subunit ribosomal RNA", at positions 28 to 507 of the family's 1533-position model. The record is from RNAcentral.